This 301-nucleotide unclassified non-coding RNA is filed under the name uncultured Pucciniales. RNAcentral describes it as "sequence contains 5.8S rRNA gene, ITS2, 28S rRNA gene". The record is from RNAcentral. Lineage: Eukaryota; Fungi; Basidiomycota; Pucciniomycetes; Pucciniales.
AACGCACCUUGCGUCUUUUGGUAUUCCAAAAGGCACACCUGUUUGAGUGUCAUGAAACCCUCUCACAAUAAUAAUUUGUUUUCAAAUUGUUAUAUGUGGAUGUUGAGUGUUGCUGUAGUUAGCUCACUUUAAAUAAAUAAGCCACUUUUUUUCCAAGUAAGAUUGGAUAGACUUGGUGUGUAAUAACAAAAAACUUCACAUCACAGAGACAUCCUUUAUACAUCCUCUUGAGAAAUAGAGACUUCUAAAAAUUAUUUAUCUUUAAGACCUCAAAUCAGGUGGGACUACCCGCUGAACUUAA